CUAUCCUCAAGCUCCGCUUGGUAUUGGGAGGCAAGCCUCAUCCCCUCGGGGAGAGGCUCCCCCGAAAAUUAGCGGCGGAUCGGUCGGGGUCCCAGCGCAGUGACUAUUUUUCUCGCUGAUUGGAUCCUCGGGCGGCUCCUGCCGGGCUAAAAACCCAUUAUUUCUUUCAA
RNAcentral lists this unclassified non-coding RNA (170 nucleotides) under uncultured Cryptodiscus. RNAcentral's name for it is "partial internal transcribed spacer 2". Lineage: Eukaryota; Fungi; Ascomycota; Lecanoromycetes; Ostropales; Stictidaceae. The record is from RNAcentral.